AGAAAAUCAUGCUCUGCAUUUGGUGGGAUCAGGUCGGCGUCGUAUAUUUUGAGCUGCUCCAACCGGGCGAAACAAUCACGGGGGAUCGUUACCGACUGCAAUUGAUGCGUUUAAGCCGGGCAUUGAAAGAAAAACGGCCGGAAACGGUAAAAAGGCACGACAAGGUUAUUUUGCAACAUGACAACGCUCGGCCGCAUGUUGCUCAACCUGUCAAAAAAUACCUUGGAACGCUUGGCUGGGAAGUGUUACCCCUUCCGCCGUAUAGUCCAGACAUAGCUCCCUCCAAUUAUCAUUUGUUCCGGCAUAUGAGUCUCGAUUUGGCGGACCAGCGGUUCUCCUCGUACGAGGCUACCAAAACAUGGGUUGAGUCAUGGAUAGCCAAGCAGCGGCCAGAAUUUUGGAGAAACGGCAUCCGGAAAUUGCCCGAAAGAUGGGCGAAAGUUGUAGCUAGCGAUGGCCAAUACUUCGAAUAAAAUAUUUUGUACCGUUUUUUCACAAUAAAGCCCCAAAUCUUCGAAAAAAACCUUUAAAACUAAUUCAACCUCCAAUAAUUUUAGUAAGUUUUCCAAAAUGAUGUCCCACAUUUUAAAACUAAAAACAUUAACACUAAUAGUUAUUAAAUAAUGAACAAAUAAUAAUAUGAUCGAUACGUAUAAUAAAUGAAACGCAUGCCAUAUUUGAAAUGGCAUAUAAUCGCGAUUAAUUAUGUUGAUGAAAGACCGCAUACGAAGAUUUUUCGCACUAGCGCUUAUGGGAAUUUUCUGCUUACCGACGUCCAAGGCAUAUUGACGUAUUGGCAUAUUACAUAUAUACAUAAGUAAUACAGACGAUUGUAUUCACUUUUUUUAGAUAAAGAGGCAUAACUUCAUUUAAUACACCACAUAUUAUUUUUAUUGCCAAAAUAGCAACACAGAAAUACCCUUCAUGCGCAACGAAACUAAUCAGUUAUUCCUAAGCACAUUGACACUACUAAAAAAUAGUACGAUUUAAUUGAUCUUGCGCAGGCGAAGCGGGACGCAAUUAACAAAAAAAAAGCAAACAUAACGGUACUUUUCCUGUUAAAGAAGAUAGUCAUUACAAAAAACUUCUUGGCUAGUUAGAAAUGUGUACUGAGAGAUAAUUUAUGGGAAAAUCGAUAUACUGCUAGCACGUGAAAAGAGCUGGCAAAAAUUACACCUCAUUCAUACAGGGCAAUUUAUAUGUAUUACGCUUCAACAAGUUGGGGACGAGUUGAGAAUCAUAAAUUGGAAAAAAAUUAUUGAAAAUAAAAUAUUAUGAAAAUUCGCGCCACGCUGCUGCGUAUGUUUGGAACCAAUAAUGCCAGAAACCGGUGAAGAAGAAACUGUACGUGUCGUAGCGUUAGAUCGCAGUUUUCACUUCGGAUGUUAUAAAUGUGAAGACUGUGGUUUGUUGUUAUCGUCAGAAGCCGAGGGUCGUGGAUGCUAUCCUCUGGACGGACAUGUACUCUGUAAAAGUUGUAAUGCAAAACGUGUGCAAAUGCUAACAAGUCGCAUGGCAACAGAGUUAUAAACAAACUUAUUACUGUGACAUAUUAUGAAUAUUAUGUAUAAUUUCUACACUCGUAUGUAAAAUUAAAAUAAAUAAAAGUUCGUUUGGUUUGCUGACUUUUUAAAACCA
This is an RNA transcript of Anastrepha ludens (Mexican fruit fly), 1638 nucleotides long. It is a transcript of the gene named thyroid receptor-interacting protein 6-like, with no coding region annotated. The transcript is spliced from 3 exons. The record is from RefSeq and is a predicted model, not a curated record. Lineage: Eukaryota; Metazoa; Arthropoda; Insecta; Diptera; Tephritidae.